This 116-nucleotide ribosomal RNA is filed under the name Chrysemys picta bellii (western painted turtle). The record is from RNAcentral. Lineage: Eukaryota; Metazoa; Chordata; Testudines; Emydidae.
UUCAGAAGCCAUGACCACCUGAGGCUGUGAUCUCAUCAGAUUUCAGAAGCUAAGCUGAGUUGAGUUUAGUUAGUAGUUGUAUGGGAGACCUCCAAGAAAAUCUCAGUGUGCUGUAA